RNAcentral lists this non-coding RNA (94 nucleotides) under Protocruzia adhaerens. The record is from RNAcentral. Lineage: Eukaryota; Ciliophora; Spirotrichea.
GUUAUGAAUGAUUUUGAUGCAGAUGACGAGCAUAAAUACAAGUCGUCGUCCACUACUUCUCGAUCAACUGGUAUUCAAGGUUUGGGGACGUAUU